GUUGUCUUGGGCAUUCACAGUAUAUUCCCACAUAAUAUUCCUAUUUUCAUCCACUUCUACACCAUGUACUCCUAAAAGAACCACAAAACUGUACAAUCUUUUUGUCUUUUUAAUAGAAAAAAAAAAAAACACAAAAUGGUAUUUUAAGGAUUUUAAUUUCUUUCACCAUUUUUUUCCAGCUUAGCACUAUCUGGAGCAGAAAUUUUAUGGGGAGUGACCGAGAGAACUGGGAUUGUUCAGUCUGGAGAAGAGGAGGCUCAGGGGAGACCUGAUAGAUUUGAUGCACUACAGCUGGCUUGGGCUGGGCUAACAAUUCCCAAUUCAUUCCAGAUACCAGAUCAGUACAAAGUGGAUGACACUCGUGCAUCUGAUGGAACCGAGAAUACCACUUCUGCUGAUUUAGUAACGAGCCUCCCUGCUGGGAAUAAGGGCUAUGGCUACAUCCAAAUGGCAUCUCAAUCUGCUCCUAGUGCACAGAACGUGGCAAAUGAGUGACAGGCUACUCUCAGCCUGCAAAAAAAAACCAACCAGGGAGUCUGCAAGCAAGGAGAGCACAAACACUUCUUGCACACCAAAAUGAAGGAUCGAAUACCCUGACUCAAACUGUCCCAGAAGGGAGGUAGGGUGAAAAGAUAAUGAAAGAGAAAAAAAGGAGAAAAAAGGGUAUUCCUUCCCUAUUGUUCCUAUAAAAUAUAGCCAGGACAGUCAGUUAUCAUAAUAGGAAGAUUUAUUUGCCCUAUACUUGAUGGAUGCAGAAUGAUUUUUUUUCUUCUUGCCAGGACUACAUGAAAUAAGUGUUUGCACUGCAUUUAAACAAUCUCUUUAAUUGGGGUUUUUGAGCUCCCACACAAUACAUGAAGCCAUAUCCAUCAAUUCUGUCCACUGCCACUAGAGGGAGAAAAGCCACUGCUUUUGUAGAAAAACGUUUCAUGAUCCCUCAUGCGUUCCAGAUGACCACUGGCAGCGGGCGAUUGAUUUCCCUGCCCAAGAAUCACCUGUCCAAAGAUAAAGAAUGGUGGUGGGGAAGAGAUGGAGCAAGAUACCGAAAUUACUCUCAGGGCCCCCUAAUACUAAGGGUGCCAUUUGCAUCCAGUAUCCAAACGCAGCAGCCUGGAAGUGUGCUCUCAAAUAAAGCCAAGAGCUUGGUUGAGUCAUAUGGAACAGUAUGACAGAGCUUUCAGUCAAUUAGAGAGCAUGCAGAAUGACUUUGAUAGUUUAAUUCCAUACUGACCAUAAUGCACACAACAACAAAACCAAAUGUAAAUUCAGCUACAAACUACUCAAAAUGGGGCUCAUUUAUUUGUUUUACUUACAGAAAAAAAAGGAAAAAAACAACACUUGUAUUUUAAAAUCAUAUUUUAGAGUCCAUGGAGGAAGAAAGACUAAGAAAAAAAUGUGGUGAAAGCACACGAACAGCAGAUAAAUGAAAUUCCUGUCCAGACUGAAGUACAGCUCAACAAUCGCUUUAGCUUAAUGCUGGCAAAUCUUGUUUUGUGUUUGGUCAGAAGAAAAGGUGACUCAUAUUUGGCUACAUUUUACAGAAAUGCAAGAGCCUUGCUGAACUACCUUUGAAAUGUCAAGCCCAUGUUAAUUCUUGUACUUUGUAAUAAUCUAAGCAAUACACUGUCUUAGCCUGACUUAUGUCUGUUUCAGUUGCAAGCACUUUUUUAACAUGAAACACUACAUCAGGUUGACAUCAGCCAGUCACUGCCCUUCUUGUUACUGAUAACACUGCAUUGGAAGUAUUUAUUUUGCUGAGAUCUCCUCAGUGAAGGAAAGGUCUGAAGUCCACCCAGGCUGUCUUCUUUUGUGACAGCUCUGUGCAAUAAACUCUGCUUCUAUAGACAAAAAUCCUUUGAAUUCCUAUAGUUUCACAGGUUGUACAUCAAAUGAAAACAGGCUGCUGUGUUUCUGUUGAGAGUUUUUCAGGGCUUGUCAUUCCUAACAGAAUUCAGAAAGCCACAGUCCUUGCAGAAACAUCCAACUGGUCAUAAUGGACACACGCAGAAAGUAUUUUAUGAUUUAUGAAGUACCGCUCUUAAGCAUCAAACUUGGCCUUAGCUAUGGAACUCUGUCCUAUGUUUGAAAAUGUUUCUAUUCAUAACAAAAAGGUGGAAAAUUGAGCCCCUUCUAAAGAAAUUUCUGAAAACUGUCAGAUUAGUUUUAAUAUUAUUUUUACGCAAUCUUCAAACUUUCUGUCACACUUUUGGCUCCAUAGCAGCAACAGCAAGCACCCCUCGUGAAAGUGAGGGCUUGAAAUGCUGGCAACACUCACCAUUACUGGAAAGUAGAAAUCUCUCACAGAGUUGUUUUUUAGGACAGCUUUCACUAGAAAGGAAAUCAUGGGAUGUGGAAAGUGUCCAAACAUGCUCCAGAAGUAUGUUUUCCCUACAGUGAACUCUUACUUAGGAGCUUAGGCCAAACCUUCCUACAAACCACACAGAAAACCUGUAGAUCCAGGAUUGAAAUUGUUUAAACUGAUGCUCACUGGAGGAGAUUUCAUUCAAUAGGGAGGGUGGGAUGGUCAUUUCGCAUUGAGAACUCAAAGACCUUCAAGAACAGACAGACAGACCUCUAAUGGCUUUCCCACAGCUCCAAACAGCAAGGAAGUCUUCCGUCAGUAGCUCCAAUUCCCUAGGAAAGAGCCCCAAACCACCUUCAUCUACAGAACAAGGGCCAGACCUGCUCACACCUGAGUCAGUAGAGAAGAGCCAGUUCUGAUAAUUAGUAUAUGUUGCUCAUUGGCCAGAUCAGUCACAUGGUGAAGAUGUACUUACUUAGCUAAAGCUGAGUAAAUGUGUAAAUAAGGAUAUGGGAUUGACAUUACAGCAUGAGGAUGAGCCACCUUGCAAGAGUGCCCAAGAAACUGUAAAGUCUCACUGGGAGGAACUGCGAGAGGGAAGCACACACUGGCUGGCACAUAAAGCAUCAAGUUGGAAACACUCUUCUGAACAGAAUGGGUGUUGCUAUGCUGCAGCACUUACUGGGCAUAAAAUCAAUAGGACCUCAGCACACCCCGAUUUAAUGUUGAUUUAAGAUGCCAACUCAGAUGAAUAAAUCACAUGGCACUCCUGUUCUCACCUUCAUAGAUGAGAUCACUGACUCUGCUGCAACUCAUCAACUCAUAUAUGAAGAACCUACAAUAUGGUGCUACAGCUCACUGCAACCAACAGCUGAGGAAAAGAACUCAGGAGGGGCAGAGUAAAGAAAUUGUCCUGUCCAUCCCAGCAGCACACUACAAUACCGAGCUCUUGCUUCAUCUGAGAAACAUGCAAGGAAUGUGUGAGACUGGAGCUAACGCCGCUCAUGCAGACCAAAAAGAAAGAGUGAAUGAAAACAACUGAAGAUGUUCUCUGGAAAACACAUCCCAUCCCAUAACCAUCAAAUUUGUGCAAAUAAAAAAGGGUUUGCUACAUUUACCAAGACAUUUUUUUUGUGGAAAAAUUAUUGGAGGCAGGAUAGUGAAUAUUCA
This is a long non-coding RNA of Tympanuchus pallidicinctus (lesser prairie-chicken), 3472 nucleotides long. RefSeq lists it as uncharacterized. The record is from RefSeq and is a predicted model, not a curated record. Lineage: Eukaryota; Metazoa; Chordata; Aves; Galliformes; Phasianidae. The transcript is spliced from 3 exons.